AGGGAAAAGGAUAAUAGAGGGAAAUAUCUUGUUCUUUAAAAAUAUAAUGAAAUGUGGUGUAGAUGUGUAAAUAAUGUAUGAAAAUUUAAUUGAUUUAUGAAGGUUUUAUUUACAUGAUUUAAUUUAAAAAUGAAAUUUAAUAAUAAUAAGGGAAAAUAUAUAACACAUCCUCCAAAUGAACGAACAGAGCAAUAGCAACAAAUUACGAUGUCACGGGUUGUUGUGUGUGGUUGAGGGAGAGUAUGGAGACGAGAGAGAAACAAAUCAGAUAAGCAAGGAAGGUGGAUUUGGGUUAGGCAAGGGUUUCUGGUUUUUCUUUUCAAUUGGGGCAACAGUAGGGAUGACAGAGAAAAUGUUAGAGUGAGAGAGAUGAAAGAGAAAGGGUUGAGAGGAAUGAGGGAGGUGAGUAAGGGUUUGGGGGUUUCUUUUUUUUUUAGUUUUGAGAAUGAAAAUUAUUUAAAUAUCCUUGACCUUCAAACUUAGAAUCCAUGAUAAAUGAGGGUAUUUUUGUCUACUAUAAUCCGGUACACAUUGUUAAAACGUACCAACUAAAAAACAGGCGUACGCAUGUUAACCAUAUAUAUA
RNAcentral lists this long non-coding RNA (585 nucleotides) under Vigna radiata. Its description in RNAcentral is "long non-coding RNA (VRAD_LNC008956)". Lineage: Eukaryota; Viridiplantae; Streptophyta; Magnoliopsida; Fabales; Fabaceae. The record is from RNAcentral.